This 90-nucleotide transfer RNA is filed under the name Spirochaetia bacterium. RNAcentral's name for it is "tRNA-Ser". It matches the Rfam family "tRNA". Rfam says of the family: Transfer RNA (tRNA) molecules are approximately 80 nucleotides in length. Their secondary structure includes four short double-helical elements and three loops (D, anti-codon, and T loops). Lineage: Bacteria; Pseudomonadati; Spirochaetota; Spirochaetia. The record is from RNAcentral.
UGGAGCGGUGACCGAGUGGCCGAAGGUGGCUCCCUGCUAAGGAGUUGUGCCCCUAAAGGGUACCGGGGGUUCGAAUCCCCCCUGCUCCGU